RNAcentral lists this ribosomal RNA (425 nucleotides) under uncultured bacterium. Its description in RNAcentral is "bacterial SSU rRNA". It matches the Rfam family "Bacterial small subunit ribosomal RNA", at positions 28 to 454 of the family's 1533-position model. The record is from RNAcentral.
GAUGAACGCUAGCGGCAGGCCUAACACAUGAAGUCGAGGGGUAGAGUUAGCUUGCUAACUUGAGACCGGCGCACGGGUGCGUAACGCGUAUGCAAUCUACCUUGUAGAGGGGGAUAGCCCAGAGAAAUUUGGAUUAAUACCCCAUAGUAUAAUAGAGUGGCAUCAUUUUAUUAUUAAAGUUCCAACGCUACAAGAUGAGCAUGCGUCCCAUUAGUUAGUUGGUGUGGUAACGGCGCACCAAGACGAUGAUGGGUAGGGGUCCUGAGAGGGAGAUCCCCCACACUGGUACUGAGACACGGACCAGACUCCUACGGGAGGCAGCAGUGAGGAAUAUUGGUCAAUGGAGGCAACUCUGAACCAGCCAUGCCGCGCGCAGGAUGACGGUCCUAUGGAUUGUAAACUGCUUUUGUACGGGAAGAAAAAGA